AUUCCAUUCAGGGGCGUUAUCGUUAAUAAUACUGCCCCGGUUUGCAUACCGGGAAUCCAGGAGAGUUCAUGUAC
Buttiauxella agrestis ATCC 33320 is the source of this 74-nucleotide regulatory RNA element. It matches the Rfam family "PyrD leader". Lineage: Bacteria; Pseudomonadati; Pseudomonadota; Gammaproteobacteria; Enterobacterales; Enterobacteriaceae. The record is from Rfam.